AUCUUGAGAAAUUUCAUCGUGAUGGGGAUAGAUCAUUGCAAUUGUUGGUCUUCAACGAGGAAUGCCUAGUAAGCGCGAGUCAUCAGCUCGCGUUGACUACGUCCCUGCCCUUUGUACACACCGCCCGUCGCUCCUACCGAUUGAAUGGUCCGGUGAAGUGUUCGGAUCGCGACGACGGGGGNGGUUCGCCGCCCCCGACNUCGCGAGAAGUCCAUUGAACCUUAUCAUUUAGAGGAAGGAGAAGUCGUAACAAGGUUUCCGUAGGUGAACCUGCGGAAGGAUCAUUG
This 287-nucleotide ribosomal RNA is filed under the name Deschampsia elongata. RNAcentral's name for it is "partial 18S ribosomal RNA". It matches the Rfam family "Eukaryotic small subunit ribosomal RNA", at positions 1549 to 1831 of the family's 1831-position model. Lineage: Eukaryota; Viridiplantae; Streptophyta; Magnoliopsida; Poales; Poaceae. The record is from RNAcentral.